GAUGAACGCUGGCGGCGUGCCUAAUACAUGCAAGUCGAGCGAACAGACGAGGAGCUUGCUCCUCUGACGUUAGCGGCGGACGGGUGAGUAACACGUGGAUAACCUACCUAUAAGACUGGGAUAACUUCGGGAAACCGGAGCUAAUACCGGAUAAUAUAUUGAACCGCAUGGUUCAAUAGUGAAAGACGGUUUCGCUGUCACUUAUAGAUGGAUCCGCGCCGCAUUAGCUAGUUGGUAAGGUAACGGCUUACCAAGGCGACGAUGCGUAGCCGACCUGAGAGGGUGAUCGGCCACACUGGAACUGAGACACGGUCCAGACUCCUACGGGAGGCAGCAGUAGGGAAUCUUCCGCAAUGGGCGAAAGCCUGACGGAGCAACGCCGCGUGAGUGAUGAAGGUCUUCGGAUCGUAAAACUCUGUUAUUAGGGAAGAACAAAUGUGUAAGUAACUAUGCACGUCUUGACGGUACCUAAUCAGAAAGCCACGGCUAACUACGUG
This 497-nucleotide ribosomal RNA is filed under the name uncultured bacterium. Its description in RNAcentral is "partial 16S ribosomal RNA". It matches the Rfam family "Bacterial small subunit ribosomal RNA", at positions 28 to 507 of the family's 1533-position model. The record is from RNAcentral.